Molecule: long non-coding RNA, 4155 nt
Filed under: Pelobates cultripes (western spadefoot toad)
Lineage: Eukaryota; Metazoa; Chordata; Amphibia; Anura; Pelobatidae
Source: RNAcentral
CUGAGAUUUUCUGCUCCAGUGAUAUUGAAGAAUUCUUGCGAGAAGCAGCAUUCAUGAAGGAAUUUGACCAUCUAAAUGUCUGCAAAUUAAUAGGUAAAUAGGUUUUAUAGCAAAUACUACCUACCACAGUGAAAAUAUGCUUACACGGUAAAUGUGUUGCUUUUCUUUACCCAUAAAAUACAUUUGUUAAGAAAAAUAUUAAAAUGAAUCAAGUCUAUAUUUUAUAAUUAACCCCUUAGCGACCGAGGACGGUUCAGGACCGUCAUCGGCAUUUUUGCCUUGAGGACCGAUGACGGUCCUGAACCGUCCUAACGGUCUGGGGGUACUUACCUGAUCGCCGUCGUUCCCCCGGCGGCGAUCAGCGUUGCUCCGGUUGUGGGGAGACUGCCUGCAGCCCAGACAGUCUCCCCACACUGAUUUAGGACCCCUGUGGCCAUGUGAUAGCUUAACACAGCGAUCACAUGGUCACAAUAGGUGUCCAUAGUGUUUGCAGGACUGCGCCGACAGGCAGCCCCCAAGUAGUGUAAAAUCAAAAAAAAUAAAGGGUGUUAGCGAUUCGAUUAUAGUGCCAGGAAAACAUACUGUUUUCCUGGCACUAUAGUGCCCUGAGGGUGCCCCCACCCUCAGGGACCCCUCCCUACCUCGCCUCUGGAAGCGUGGCGGGUGUUAGUUUCUUUCCAGCGCCAUGGAGCUCUUCCUCCGCCCGCCGACCGCUUCCGCCGUUGACGCGCACGCCAUACAGCCGCGCCGCCAGCAUUCAGCUUCCUCCGCCAAGCCGCAUAGGAAAGCAUUUACAAGCGAGGACGUUGCGUUUCACCGUGAAAAUCACAGUGAGAAAGAUCAAGAAAGCGUUUAGUGGCUGCUCACGAGACAGCUACUAGAGGAUUAGGGAAGGUUAUUCCAUUUCGAGUACUCAUAGCAGUUUCUCUGAAACUGCUAUAAUUAUGAAAAAAUGGGUUAACCCUAGCUGGACCUGGCACCCAGACCACUUCAUUAAGCUGAAGUGGUCUGGGUGCCUAGAGUGGUUCUUUAAUAAAAAAAAUUUAAAAAAUUAUAUAUGUGUAUAAAUAUGAUAUAUAGACAUAUAUUAUAUCUAUAUAAUAUAUGUCUAUCUAUCAUAUAUAUAAUGUCAUACUAAGUGUAUUUUUAUAUUAAUAUGUACUUAUAUUAAUAUAAAAAUAUACUUAUAAUUAAAUUACACGCUUAUAUAUAUAUAAUAUAUAUAGUAACUAUAUAUAGUGUGUAUAUAUAUAUAUAUAUAUAUUAUAAAAUACAAAUAAUAAAGAAAUUAAAUAAAAAAAUUUUAAAUAAAAUUUACAAAAAUUAUAUAUCUAUAUGAAAUUUUAUUCUAACUGUAUUUAAAAAUUAAUAUAUAUAUAUUUAUAUCAAAAUACACUUAGAAUGAAUUUGUAUAUAUAUCUAUGUAUAUAAAAAUAAAUAAAAAUAAUAAGAAAUAUACAUACGUCCAUAUACAAAAUUACAUAAAUAAUUAUAUAAAUAUACACGUAGACUUCAAAUGUAUAAAUAUGCAUAUAUAUUUAAAUUCUACGUGCGUAUUUAUGUAAUAUUUUUACAUAAUUCAGUAAUUUUAUUGAUUGCAAUUUGAGGGACCUGCCUGCCAACCCAGGCCGAAAUUCCAGAUAAUUUAAUUUGCUAGCACUGUAUUUUACCCUGUAACGUUCUACGACACCCUAAAACCUGUACAUGGGGGGUACUGUUUUACUCGCGAGACUUCGCUGAACACAAAUAUUAGUGAUUCACAACAGUAAAACAUAUCACAGCGAUGAUAUUGUCAGUGAAAGUUACUUUUUUUGCAUUUUUCACACACAAGCAGCACUUUUACUGAUGAUAUAAUUGUUGUGAUACGUUUUCCAGUUUUUAAACACUAAUAUUUGUGUUCAGCGAUGUCUCCCGAGUAAAACAGUACCCCCCAUGUACAGGUUUUAUAGCAUUUUUGAAAGUUACAAGGUCAAAUAUAUAGGUCAAAUAUUUUUACAUUGAAAAUGGCCAGGUUGGUUACGUUGCCUUUGAGAGCGUAUGGUAGCCCAGGAAUGAGAAUUACCCCCAUGAUGGCAUACCAUUUGCAAAAGAAGACAACCCAAGGUAUUGCAAAUGGGGUAUGUCCAGUCUUUUUUAGUAACCACUUGGUCACAAACACUGGCAAAAUUAGCGUUCAAUUUAGUUUUUUUUGCUUUUCACACUGAAACCAUGAUAUGAGAUACUUGCACUUUUGUCCGGUGUUUUUUCGACAAGUGGCUGCAGAACUAGCCUCUAUAUUAAAAUACCUAGGUUAUCUACUAAAAAAUAUUCUCUUUUAUGUGGGGUGUUAUUCAGAGAUUUAUGACAGGUAAUAGUGUUACAAUGUCACUAUUGAUAAAUUUAAAAAAUUUAUGUUUUGAAACCUCAAUAUUCUACUUGUACCUAUAGCCCUAUAACAUGCAAAAAAGCAUGUAAACACGGGGUAUUUUUAAACUCAGGACAAAAUUUUGAAUCUAUUUAGCAGUUUUUUUAAUUCGCUUUUGUAGAUGAGUAAAAGAUUUUUCAAGUAAAAGUCAAAAAACAUGUAUUUUUUCAAUUUUUCAUCAUAUUUUUUUAUUUUUUUUAAAUUAAAAUGCAUGAGAUUAUAUAAAUAAUGGUAUGUAAAGAAAGCCCCUUUUGUCCUGAAAAAAACAAUAUAUAAUUUGUAUGGGAACAGUAAAUGAGAGAGCGGAAAAUUACAGCCAAACACAAACACCACAAAAGUGUAAAAAUAUGCCACCAAUUACGCCAAAUGUACAACAUACUUAAAAACAGUCCAGUCAUAAGGUGUUAAAAAGGACCACUCCUAGGCACCCAGACCACUUCAGCAAUGAAGUGGUCACCAGAUUUUCAAACUUAGGGUUAACCCAUUUUUUUAAUAAAACUUGUAGCAGUUUCAAGAAAGAGAGCUGCUAUGUUUCAAUAUUGAGUUAACCAACGCUAAAAGAAACACUCUAGUGGCUGUCUCAUUGACAGCCACUAGACUUGCGUCUUCUACACUGUGAUUUUCACAGUGAGAGCGCGCUCAUCGGUCCAUAGGGAAAGCAUUAUGAAUGCUUUCCUAGUGACGGCUGAAUGCGCGCGCAGCUCCUGCGGCGUGCGCAUUCAGCCGACGGGAGGAGAAGAGGAGGAUCGGAGGAGGAGAGCUCUCCGCCCAGCGGUGGAAAAAGGUAAGUUUUACCCCUUUCCAGAGCCGGGCGGGAGGGGGUCCCUGAGGGUGGGGGCACCCUCAGGGCACUAUAGUGCCAGGAAAACGAGUAUGUUUUCCUGGCACUAUAGUGGUCCUUUAAGUUGCAAAUGUAUUUGUGAAAUUAAUAUAUAGAUCUACACUCAAAUUUGAUGGAACCUACAAAUUGAGAAAGCUAUGAGACAGUGAUGCCAAAAAUAAAUACAGAAAAUGCUUAUAGUGAUAUAGUAACAUUAAAGAAAAAACAUUUUAGUGUUAGGAAAACAAAUAUGUAUUCCUAACACUAUAUAGUGUCCCUCUGCCCCCAUACCCACCUGUCCAUACGUCCACACACGCAAUAGGCCUUCCCCAUAGGGAAGCAUUGAAUCAAUGCUUUCCUAUGGGGGUUUUCAAAACGGAUUCUGGGUACUGGAGUGACUUGAUAGAGAUGAAAAAUUACCCCAUUCCAUAAUGUCCUUUUGGUUAACUGCAAUGAUUGAAAAAACAUCAGAAAGAUUCUCUUUUACCAAAAUAUGUAAAUAUCAAGAAGCAAACAAAAAGAAAAUGUGAAAGUUUGAAUCCGCGUAAACUAACAUACCUAAGUAAUAUUUACAUGUGGUGGUUUUCAUAUAGCAGAAAUAAAUACAGAAUUAUUGUAAGCUAAUAUAGUAAGUUGGUAAACACUUUUUAUAUUCUUUAUACUUAUGAUUUUGAAUAUAUCAUAAUUAUUAAUCUUAAGUUCACAACUCUGUUGAUAACGCUUUGGUGCUCGCACUAGCUUCAAGGAAAUUGUAGUGUUAUGUUGUAAUAUACAUAUUUCAAAAAUCUGCUUCUUAAUUUUAACACCAGGAGUGAGUUUGAGGAGUCGUACCAAGGGGAGGCUUCCUGUUCCCAUGGUUAUUCUCCCAUUCAUGAAGCAUGGGGAUCUCCACACUUUCCUUCUGAUGUCCCGCAUUGGAGAAGAGCCUAUU